This 1304-nucleotide unclassified non-coding RNA is filed under the name Marshallia trinervia. RNAcentral describes it as "external transcribed spacer". Lineage: Eukaryota; Viridiplantae; Streptophyta; Magnoliopsida; Asterales; Asteraceae. The record is from RNAcentral.
GCACCCAUAAAGGAUCCGUCGUGGCGCCAGACUAGCGUCAAGCCCCCCGCCUAGUCAUGAGUCCCUAUCGUUGAGACGGAUCCGCCGGUUGGUGAUCGUGUUCCAAAUUUUUGGGGCACAUGACGGUAAAGAUCAGUAGCAAAUGUCGGUUAACUAGUGAGAAUACAAUGAAUGGAUUGUGGCCUAUAAAGAUCAGUAGCAAAUUGUCAGUCCCCCCACCUAGUCACGUGUCCCAAAGCUUGGGGCACACGGUAUGGUUGAGACGGAUCCAUCGGUGGGUGAUCGUGUUCCAAAUUUUUGGGGCACAUGUCGGUAUAGAUCAGUUGGAGAUGAAUUCUUGGUCGGUGAUCGGUUGCCUAGUGAGAAUAUAUUGAAUGGAAUGUGGCCUAUAAAGAUCAGUUGCAUAUUGUGAUUUGUUGUCUAGCGUCCCUAUGGUUGCUUCACAUGUCCCGAUGCUUGUCUAUAACAAAGCUAGGCUUCAAGACGGUUGGUUAGUGAUUGGUUACCUAGUGAUAAUAUACUGAAUGGAUUGUUGAGGGUUGGAAACAUGGACGUACAAACACCAAUCGGCCUUUGUCCCGAUUGCUGAGUGUUAUGUGCUUGAUGUUGAAGAUUCUUGGCGUCUUUGAUGUAUGUUACAUAGAUAAUCAGUUGCUUCGCGGCAUAAUAGAGCUAAUCAGUUGGCUUGCAACAUAGUAAUUUUGUCUUAGAUUUUCAUUGAGGCAUGGUGAUCAUAGGGACGGGAAGGUGGCUUUCGAGAAUUUUCGCAUCGUUCGGUUCAUUUUGGGGGCUAUUUUGGCUUUUGGUUGCCUACAUGGUGAUUGUGCUAUGUUGGUGGCUAAUUGUUGGAUGGUCUCCGAGUAUGUAGGCCGUAAAGGUGCAUGAGUGGUGUUUGGUUUGUUAUGGGUGGUUGGCUCUUUGCUUGUGCAACAACUUCCACCUGUCUUACCUUUUCAGAAUAUGUUUGGCCUUGGUUAGUCUAAGCAGUUAUUGGGUUUUCUGUGCUCACUUCCUAUGUUAUGGCAUUCUCCUGAUUGAUUGGUCUUACUUUUUGACGUGUGUCAUUGUCAUGAUACAUGAGAACUUUGAAGUAGUCAUUUGUACCACAAUCUUAAUGCAUGCGUUAAUCUUGUGGCUCAGUGGGUGUUGCUUGGUAUCUUGAAUAUAGAAUAUGAUGUGGGCAAAAGGGGUUUCUUGUAUCCUUGAUUUGUCCUUAUUCAGCGUUCAGACUUUAAGAAAAUGACUGUUUAUCCCGCCUUGUGCUUGUGCUAAAGCGGGGGAGAUGUGUCAAAGAAGAAUGCUAC